RNAcentral lists this ribosomal RNA (410 nucleotides) under Salmonella enterica subsp. enterica serovar Typhimurium. Its description in RNAcentral is "partial 23S ribosomal RNA". It matches the Rfam family "Bacterial large subunit ribosomal RNA", at positions 373 to 786 of the family's 2925-position model. Lineage: Bacteria; Pseudomonadati; Pseudomonadota; Gammaproteobacteria; Enterobacterales; Enterobacteriaceae. The record is from RNAcentral.
CCGUACACAAAAGCGCAUGUGCUGUGAGCUCGAUGAGUAGGGCGGGACACGUGGUAUCCUGUCUGAAUAUGGGGGGACCAUCCUCCAAGGCUAAAUACUCCUGACUGACCGAUAGUGAACCAGUACCGUGAGGGAAAGGCGAAAAGAACCCCGGCGAGGGGAGUGAAAAAGAACCUGAAACCGUGUACGUACAAGCAGUGGGAGCACAGGUUUACCUGUGUGACUGCGUACCUUUUGUAUAAUGGGUCAGCGACUUAUAUUCUGUAGCAAGGUUAACCGUAUAGGGGAGCCGGAGGGAAACCGAGUCUUAAUUGGGCGUUAAGUUGCAGGGUAUAGACCCGAAACCCGGUGAUCUAGCCAUGGGCAGGUUGAAGGUUGGGUAACACUAACUGGAGGACCGAACCGACUAA